This 89-nucleotide microRNA precursor is filed under the name Canis lupus familiaris (dog). Its description in RNAcentral is "mir-8799 microRNA precursor family". It matches the Rfam family "mir-8799 microRNA precursor family". The record is from Rfam by way of RNAcentral. RNAcentral also lists the same sequence under 1 other name. Lineage: Eukaryota; Metazoa; Chordata; Mammalia; Carnivora; Canidae.
GGGGGGAGGCCAGAUCCUGAGCUGUGUCCUGGCGCCCUGGGCUCCCGGUCCUGCGCUAUUGGAUUCGCGCUCCCGCCCCGCAGCCCCCU